RNAcentral lists this ribosomal RNA (256 nucleotides) under uncultured bacterium. Its description in RNAcentral is "partial 16S ribosomal RNA". It matches the Rfam family "Bacterial small subunit ribosomal RNA", at positions 524 to 776 of the family's 1533-position model. The record is from RNAcentral.
UACGGGGGGGGGCAAGCGUUGUCCGGAAUUAUUGGGCGUAAAGAGCUCGUAGGCGGCUUGUCGCGUCGGCCGUGAAAACCUGCAGCUUAACUGUGGGCGUGCGGUCGAUACGGGCAUCACUGGAGUUCGGCAGGGGGAGACUGGAAUUCCUGGUGUAGCGGUGAAAUGCGUAGAGAUCGGGAGGAACAUCAGUGGCGAAGGCGGCCAUCUGGGACAACACUGACGCUGAGGCACGAAAGCGUGGGGAGCAAACAGG